GAUGAACGCUGGCGGCGUGCCUAAUACAUGCAAGUCGAGCGAACGGACGAGAAGCUUGCCUUUCUGAUGUUAGCGGCGGACGGGUGAGUAACACGUGGAUAACCUACCUAUAAGACUGGGAUAACUUCGGGAAACCGGAGCUAAUACCGGAUAAUAUUUUGAACCGCAUGGUUCAAAAGUGAAAGACGGUCUUGCUGUCACUUAUAGAUGGAUCCGCGCUGCAUUAGCUAGUUGGUAAGGUAACGGCUUACCAAGGCAACGAUGCAUAGCCGACCUGAGAGGGUGAUCGGCCACACUGGAACUGAGACACGGUCCAGACUCCUACGGGAGGCAGCAGUAGGGAAUCUUCCGCAAUGGGCGAAAGCCUGACGGAGCAACGCCGCGUGAGUGAUGAAGGUCUUCGGAUCGUAAAACUCUGUUAUUAGGGAAGAACAUAUGUGUAAGUAACUGUGCACAUCUUGACGGUACCUAAUCAGAAAGCCACGGCUAACUACG
This 495-nucleotide ribosomal RNA is filed under the name uncultured bacterium. RNAcentral describes it as "partial 16S ribosomal RNA". It matches the Rfam family "Bacterial small subunit ribosomal RNA", at positions 28 to 505 of the family's 1533-position model. The record is from RNAcentral.